Molecule: long non-coding RNA, 1133 nt
Organism: Oncorhynchus keta (chum salmon)
Lineage: Eukaryota; Metazoa; Chordata; Actinopteri; Salmoniformes; Salmonidae
Exons: 4
Source: RefSeq, a predicted model, not a curated record
GGGGUUUAUGUGUGUUGAGAAACUUGGUGACAUUAUUGGAUGGAGAUUGAAAAGAGAUAGUUGAGCAUUUCUUCAAAUUAGUUUCUUCAAAUUACAAGAGAAGGAUGAAGUAGAUUAAAAAUUGUUUUCUUGGUUUUAGAAUGUGUGUUUGUGCAAUUUAUUUCAAUUUGCCCUGUUAGUAGCAGUAGCUAGCUUGCUAACGUUACCAGCUCCAGUGUGCAGUUUUCGACGCCGACAUUACCUACAAUUUUGUUGACUUUGUUGAAAAACCCCGUUCAUUCUCUGGGGUACACGGAAAAGAUGCGAACUAAAACUGAGAAUUCGUUUCAUGAAUACAGAUGCAACGGUGAGGGCGUUCAAUACCAAUUGGUAUCAGUAUAGCUGGUUACAGGGAGCCUGUCAUCAAGCCGCCUGUGUUGCUAGCCUGCUUUUUUGGGGAAGUCUGAGCCUUUGUCGAAAGCUGAGUCCCCUCCUGUUCACUGAUUAAGAGGUGAUGACUACUCCACUCUUUCUCCUGACAACUUUCUCCUGACAUGAACUGAAGCCACGUCUCAUGUGCCCGUUCAUCCACUGGAACAUUGAGUGUUUCCUCUCCAAGCACUGCGAGAACCUCUAUCCAUUUUCUCUCAUUACUUUUUUUGUCUUCCCAGUCAAAUCCUGUCCUGCACUGAAGUCAAGCCUCUGAACACCAACUCAUGCUUCAUACCCUCAUUCAGUCACUGCUGUGAUCCCUUCCCAACACUAUUAUGAAGAAAACCACAACAAUCCUCUAUUUAUGAUGAAGGUGAAGUAACAUCAUUGUUUCAGUCCUGCUGCCAUGGGUCAACUCUAGUUAUUCCACAUGAAGGCACAGUUAGGAUUGGCUGACACCUUGCAACAUGUAAACAAAGUGAAGCCUUGAAUAUAAAGCAUCUCCAUAAGACUUUAGUUGACUGGUUCAUCCUGAGGUAUGGGCCUGUACGCAGUGAAUGAAUUCUGGCCUCAAUAUGUAAGUGCAUUUUACGUUGUUGACUCAAACAUUUGCUGCUGCUACAAGGGGUUGUGAAGUGUUUUCCCGUGAUGUGAGUCUUCACGGUUCCUGUUUCUGGCAGCAGAGAGAAGAGCUGUAUGUAAUAAAGGUUUCACGUGGGUUU